UAAAUGUUCAGGAGAGCGGCUUUUCCGAAAACGAACACCAAUUUUCACGGGAAAUGUCUUAAAAAAAUUCGUUUUUAAUUCCGAUUCACGAAUAUGUCUGGCGCGUUAUCUAAUUUUAUGUAUUUUUGCAAUAAAAACAAUAAAAAAUAUUUCGAUUUUGCACAAUAUUCACGCUAUAAAUGGCAUCACUAUUCGAAAUUCAAUUGAAAACUAGUGAUAAAAGCAGUGAUCGGGUUCGAAAUAUCGAUACUCUCGAUAUUCUAGACUAAACAAAAAUUGAUAAAAAUGAGAGAUAUAUAAUAGAAAAAUAUUAUUAAUUGGAAAAAUAAAAAUAAAUUAAAAUAUCGAUAUUCUCAAUAUUCGAUUUUGAAAGAAAAUUGGUAAAAAUGAGAAAUACACAAUAGAAAAAUAAUAAUAAUUGGGAAAAUAUAAAUAAAUUAAAAUAUCGAUAUUCUCAAAAUUUGAGGCUGAUCGAGAAUUGAAAGAAGAAGAAUUUGGACACAGAAGAAUUUUGAACACCGGGGUUUUGGACCGACCAGGGAUAUUAUUUUUCGAGCGCUCGAAAAAUAAUAUCCCUGGUCGGUCCAAAACCCCGGUGUUCAAAAUUCUUCUGUGUCCAAAUUCUUCUUCUUUCUGCAAUAAUAAUGAAUUAUAAAUUUUCCUAUUAUGUAUUUCUCAUUUUUACCAAUUCUCGAUCAGCCUCAAAUAUUGAGAGUAUCGAUAAUUCGAAAACGAUCAUGAAUCAAUAGUGGCCAUUCGAAUUUACAACAGCUGUGCCAUAAUUUCGAACAUACCUUGCCAUUUUCGUUGAAUUGAAGUGAUUGUAAAGUUUUUCAUAUUUUUAUAAAAAUAACAAAAAAACCUAUUUAUCUUAUUGAUUAACGAAAGAACAUCAAUAAUUACGUGAAUAUAACCUAUAGAAAGUAUAAUUUCAACAUCCAAAGACGUGUAAAGUGCAAAAGUGAAUUUUUGAUUUCGGGAAAUACGAUGUUUUUUGAUAAAAACAAAGAAAAUACUGAUUUUAAAGGCACGCGCCUAACAUAUUCGUAAAUUAGAACUAAAAACGAGUAUUUUAAGACCUUUCCCGUGAAAAUUGGUGCACGUUUUCGGAAAAGCCGCUCUCCUGAACAUUUACCCA
Molecule: long non-coding RNA, 1138 nt
Organism: Bactrocera dorsalis (oriental fruit fly)
Lineage: Eukaryota; Metazoa; Arthropoda; Insecta; Diptera; Tephritidae
Exons: 2
Source: RefSeq, a predicted model, not a curated record